GACGAACGCUGGCGGCGUGCUUAACACAUGCAAGUCGAGCGGUAAGGCCCUUUCGGGGGUACGACGAGCGGCGAACGGGUGGAGUAACACGUGGGUGACCUGCCCUCAGCUCUGGGAUAAGCCUGGGAAACGUGGGUCUAAUACUGGAUAUGACUCCACGGUGCAUGUCGUGGGGUGGAAAGCCUUGUGCGGCUGAGGAUGGGCCCGCGGCCUAUCAGCUUGUUGGGUGGGGGGAUGG
RNAcentral lists this ribosomal RNA (238 nucleotides) under uncultured bacterium. Its description in RNAcentral is "partial 16S ribosomal RNA". It matches the Rfam family "Bacterial small subunit ribosomal RNA", at positions 28 to 263 of the family's 1533-position model. The record is from RNAcentral.